AAAGGUCUUUGUAUGCUCCGAAUGGGAGGAGGCACUUUUGCUAAGAGGUUUGCUUGUACUUCCUGCUUCCUCUAAAGGCUUGUUUCCCGACUUCGCAGCCAAUAUUCAGACUGAUUUUUUUUCUCAAGAGGAUUUGUUUACGUUUUUCUUCUUCUCUGAGAGAUGCUCUUGAGAAGCAUCAGUGUUGUGCUGAUUGUCCUGUCAGUCCUGGAGCUCUGCAUCACCAUCGGCUCUUCCAUCCUGGGGAUCAAAUCUCUGAGUAGGAAGGACAAGGGAAAAAAUGAGAGCACUGAUGACUCAGAGUCGACCAAACCACUGCUGGAGGAAGUCACUGCACAGGCUGUAGCCUAAAUGUCUUUGUUCAGUUACCAGGAAUCAUGUUCCUGUGCCUUUAUGACCUACAACUAACUUGAUGUCUUGAUGAUUUAUACUAAUUAAGACUUUGUCUUCCUAAGUGCUUCUUGAAAGGAAGACAUUAUACCAAAUUGAAUCAAUUGAUAAUUUCAUUGUUGUGUUGAUUAAAAUUUAAGUUGAGAAAAGUGCCUUAAACUCAAUUAUGUUUGUUGGUAAAAAUGUGUUUAUUCUUGUGAAAUAUGGGGUUAUUUUCUUUGCCAUUCUACAAUCUAUAGUGACAAUAUUAAAAAAGUUAGAAAAGAAUAUAAAUAAAAAAAAUACUGACACAGUUAAAAGCAGAUAUUACACUUAUAUUGACAUAUUUUUGUAGGCUAUUUGUGAAAUGUCAGAAUAAAGAGAGAACUGUUAUGUAUUUUUUAUUGCUUUCAUUAAAGUCAGAAGUAUACAUAUACUUCCUUAGUAUUUGGUAGAAUUGCCCCGUUACUGUUUCACUUGGGCCAAAUGUUUCAGGUAUCCUUCCACCAGCUUUCUACAAUAGUUUGUGGGCAUCUUGGCCCAGUCCUCUUGACAGAACUGGUGUAACUGGGUCAGGCUUGCAGGUCUUCUUGCUCCUUUUAGUGCCUUACCUUUUAGUGCCACCCACAUGUUUUCUAUGAGAUUGAGAUCAGGCCUUUGUGAAAGCCACUCCAAUACCUUGACUUUGUUGUAUUUUAAGCCACUUUGUAAAUAAUUUGGAGGAAUGCUUGGGUCAUUGUCCAUUUGGAAGACCCAUUUGUGCCCAAGCUUCAACUUCCUGGCUGAUGCCUUCAGAUGCUGCUUCAAUAUGUCCACCUAAUUUUCUUUUCUCAUGAUGUCAUCUAUUUUGUGAAGUGCAUCAGUCCCUCCUGCAGUAAAAAGCCCCACAACAUGAUGCUGCCACCCCCAUACUUCACAGUUGGGAUGGUGUUCUGAGGCUUCAAAGCUUCCACCUUUUUCCUCCAAAUAUACAGUUUAUCAUUAUGGCCCAACAGUUCAGUUGUUUCGUCAGACCACACAACAUGUCUCCAGAAAUAGAGAUUUUUGUCCCCAUGUGCAGUUGUAAACUGUAGUCCAUCUUUUUUUUAUUGUGGUUUUGAAGUAAUGGCUUUCUCCUCUAGAGUACCCUGUCAGCUCAUGGUGCUACAGGACUCAUUUUUACUGUGAAUAGUCACAUUGUCUUAACAGUUUCAGCCAGCAUCUUCACAAGAUCUUAUGCUGUUGUCCUUGGUUGAUUUGCACAUUUUACACCAAAAAACAUUCCUCUCUGGGAAUCCGUCUCCUUCCUGAGCAGUAUGAUGGUUGUACAUUCCCAUGUUUUUUAUACUUGCAUAUUGUUGUCUGAAUGUGGGACCUUCAGGCAUCUGGAAAUUGCACAUAAGGAUGAGCCAUACUUGUGUAGGUCCACAAUUCUUUUUCUGAUGCCUUCAUUGAUUUCUUUUGAUUUUCUCAUGAUGCCAAAGAAAGAGGCCCUUCUUCUUCUUCUUUAUAUUGUUUAUUGGCGGUUGGCAAACAGCAAAUUGGUGCAUUACUGCCACCAACUGAUGUGGAGUGUAGGAAGAGGCUCUGUGUUUGGGGUGUGCCUUUAUUAGCAUUCACAGGUGUGCCACCAAUUAACUCAAAUGGACUCAAUUAACCUAUCAGAAGCUUCUUAAGCUCAGAAUAAAAUCAUAUGAAGGUUUCUUUUUGUUUAAAGACACAAUAAACUUAGUUUAUGUAUACUUCUGACUUUGAUGAAAGUGUUUCACAAAUACUAAAAAUAUGUCAAUAUUUAUUGAUCUAAAACAAAAACGUUUACUCUGAUUUGAUGUUUGACGGAAAAGAAAAAAAGGUUUUAAUGUCUUUUUGUAUGUAAAUAUCUGGUUUAAACUGUACGUGUUUCAUCGUACGUGUAUCUCCUUAUGCAUCUGUGUAGGCUACUUUAAAUGUAGUUUAUGACACUGAAACUCAGUUAUGCUGAUUUCAAAGCUAAAGAUUUAUUCACUGACCAAACACAUUAUAAUAACAUCCUAGUUGAUGACUCAGUCUUUGUCUCCUCCCUUUUUUGGAACUGUUGUAACUGUACCUUUUUUUUAAUGGUACUUUUAGCAGUUAUGGUUCAGUACUGACCACUAUAUACCACUGUUAGUGCUCAACAAGACCAGUAAUGUUAAAUUAAAAUUACUAAUAAAACAUAAUUUUUUCACACGUAUAGCCAGCACAUUGAGCAGAUAUAUCAGACGCUGAGUAACUGUGUGGGGUUUAUUUGAGGUUUGGCUCUGGAGUCCUCUUGUUUUCCUUUUCCUAGUGUGACUGUUUUCUUGCCUUUAUCUAUGAGUUCACUUUCUGUUUGAUUUUGAUAAUGACUUUCUCUGUUUGCCUGUACUUUCUCUCUUUUCAUUUUGGUUCAUUUGUUUUUCCUCUUUUUUCCCAAAUGGGAGCAUCCAUGCUUAAAAUAGAAAAGGUAAAAUGUAAAUAUUUCUAAUUUGACACAGUAUAACAGGCAAUAUAGAGCAGGGGUGUCCAACUCCAGUCCUCGAGAGCUACUGACCUGCAUCCUUACUCCAAAACAGCUAAAUCAAAUGGUUAGGUCACCUCUUCAGCAUGCCCUCAAGUCUGGCAAAGGCCUGAUAACAAGCCAUUCAUUUGAUUCAGGUGUGUUGGAACAAGGAUGCUUCUAAAGGCUGCAGGACAGUAGCUCUCAAGGACUGGAGUUGGACACCCCUGAUAUCGAGGAACCAUACUUCAAUAGAAGCCAUGUUUGACUACGUUAUUUCAAGGCUUUUCAAAAAGACUCAUUUUAGUCUUAGUAGUUUUCUUGAUGUGUGUGCUCAUGUAAACUGUACUGAGAAAAAUAAAAGUCAAUUUUGUAAAUUAUGGUUUUUAUAAAAGUUGUAAAGUAGAAUGAUCCAAGGCAUGAUCACUGGCUAACAAUAAGGCUUUUCCAAUGAGCUUCAUCCAGUGUCCCUGACUUUACAGCUUAUAUUUUAAUAUGUUCUAUGGGUUAAUAAAAUGUAUGUGCUUCCAUAUUUCAGCAUAUCCUUGUAUGAUAACUGUUGAGAGUAUCUUCCCCAGUGGAAUUCAUGGGAUUUUCCAGAACAGAAAAUUGUCAUAACUGUUCAAAAAAAGCUCUAGUCCAAACUGCCCUGCAGAUCGUCCUCAGUCCAAUCGUAUUAGCAGAAAUAAAGGAGACAACACUUGAAAA
Oreochromis niloticus (Nile tilapia) is the source of this 3553-nucleotide long non-coding RNA. RefSeq lists it as uncharacterized. The record is from RefSeq and is a predicted model, not a curated record. The transcript is spliced from 3 exons. NCBI's taxonomy places the organism in Eukaryota, Metazoa, Chordata, Actinopteri, Cichliformes, Cichlidae.